This 89-nucleotide transfer RNA is filed under the name Bacteroidota bacterium. Its description in RNAcentral is "tRNA-Ser". It matches the Rfam family "tRNA". Rfam says of the family: Transfer RNA (tRNA) molecules are approximately 80 nucleotides in length. Lineage: Bacteria; Pseudomonadati; Bacteroidota. RNAcentral also lists the same sequence under 2 other names. The record is from RNAcentral.
GGAGAGGUGGGUGAGUGGCUGAAACCAACGGUUUGCUAAACCGUCAUACGCGUCAAAGUGUAUCACGAGUUCGAAUCUCGUCCUCUCCG